Transfer RNA from Kwoniella mangroviensis CBS 10435, 94 nucleotides. It matches the Rfam family "tRNA". Rfam says of the family: Transfer RNA (tRNA) molecules are approximately 80 nucleotides in length. Their secondary structure includes four short double-helical elements and three loops (D, anti-codon, and T loops). Lineage: Eukaryota; Fungi; Basidiomycota; Tremellomycetes; Tremellales; Cryptococcaceae. The record is from Rfam.
GGGGAUGUAGCUCAUUUGGCAGAGCGCGUCAUUUGCAAUGACGAAAGUCGUAAAACAAUUGUCGAGGUACAGGGUUCAAUUCCCUGCAUCUCCA